Molecule: ribosomal RNA, 253 nt
Filed under: uncultured bacterium
Lineage: Bacteria
Description: partial 16S ribosomal RNA
Rfam family: Bacterial small subunit ribosomal RNA
Source: RNAcentral
UACGAAGGGGGCUAGCGUUGUUCGGAAUUAUUGGGCGUAAAGCGCGUGUAGGCGGCUUUGCAAGUCGGGUGUGAAAGCCCUCGGCUCAACCGAGGAAGUGCGCCCGAAACUGCAGAGCUUGAGUACCGGAGAGGAUGGCGGAAUUCCCCAAGUAGAGGUGAAAUUCGUAGAUAUGGGGAGGAACACCGGUGGCGAAGGCGGCCAUCUGGACGGAUACUGACGCUGAGACGCGAAAGCGUGGGUAGCAAACAGG